UGGGGAAUAUUGCACAAUGGGCGAAAGCCUGAUGCAGCAACGCCGCGUGAGUGAUGAAGGCCUUCGGGUUGUAAAGCUCUGUCUUUUGGGACGAUAAUGACGGUACCAAAGGAGGAAGCCACGGCUAACUACGUGCCAGCAGCCGCGGUAAUACGUAGGUGGCAAGCGUUGUCCGGAUUUUACUGGGCGUAAAGGAUGCGUAGGCGGAUUUUUAAGUGAGAUGUGAAAUACCCGGGCUUAACUUGGGUGCUGCAUUUCAAACUGGGAAUCUAGAGUGCGGGGAGAGGAGAAUGGAAUUUCCUAGUGUAGCGGUGAAAUGCGUAGAGAUUAGGAAGAACACCAGUGGCGAAAGGCGAUUCUCUGGACCGUAACUGACGCUGAGGCAUGAAAGCGUGGGUAGCAAAACUGGAUUAGAUACCCUGGUAGUCCACGCCGUAAACGAUGAGUACUAGGUGUAGGAGGUAUCGACCCCUUCUGUGCCGCAGUUAACACAAUCAAGUACUCCGCCUGGGAAGUACGAUCGCAAGAUU
Molecule: ribosomal RNA, 530 nt
Filed under: uncultured bacterium
Lineage: Bacteria
Description: partial 16S ribosomal RNA
Rfam family: Bacterial small subunit ribosomal RNA
Source: RNAcentral